CUACGGGACGCACCAGUGGGGAAUAUUGCACAAUGGAGGAAACUCUGAUGCAGCAACGCCGCGUGGAGGAUGACACUUUUCGGAGCGUAAACUCCUUUUAUAUAGGAAGAAGAUGACGGUACUAUAUGAAUAAGCGCCGGCUAACUCCGUGCCAGCAGCCGCGGUAAUACGGAGGGCGCAAGCGUUACUCGGAAUCACUGGGCGUAAAGAGCGUGUAGGCGGAUUAAAAAGUCAGAAGUGAAAUCCUAUAGCUUAACUAUAGAACUGCUUCUGAAACUCUUAAUCUAGAAUAUGGGAGAGGUAGAUGGAAUUUCUGGUGUAGGAGUAAAAUCCGUAGAGAUCAGAAGGAAUACCGAUUGCGAAGGCGAUCUACUAGAACAUUAUUGACGCCGAGACGCGAAAGCGUGGGGAGCAAACAGGAUUAGAUACCCGCGUAGUC
RNAcentral lists this ribosomal RNA (439 nucleotides) under uncultured bacterium. RNAcentral describes it as "partial 16S ribosomal RNA". It matches the Rfam family "Bacterial small subunit ribosomal RNA", at positions 339 to 795 of the family's 1533-position model. The record is from RNAcentral.